GAAAACUAGAAAUAAUAAAAAUUACAUCCAGAUUCGAAGACCAUCUAUCGACGACUACAAGCACCGAAGCGACCCGAAGACGCGCUGCUGUCAUUGCCCCUCCCUCGUUGGAGCCGGGCAACUGUUGUUGUAGUAGACAGUAGGAAAGUCGUCGUGCUAAGGCCUCAUGGGACCAACACACCAGAACAGCAACCGUCACAGAUGAAGAGUGUAGAUUGGAAUUAUCCAAUCUAAAAACACACGAACAAAGACGAACUACGAACAGAUCCACCAAAGAUAGAUCCGUCGGAGACAUACCUCCACACGCCCACCAAUGAUGCUAGACACAUCACCGGAACGGGGGCUGGGCGGGGAGACAUUUAUUCCUUCUUCAGGGAGCCGCUACCGUCUUGCCUUCUUG
RNAcentral lists this long non-coding RNA (400 nucleotides) under Hordeum vulgare. Its description in RNAcentral is "long non-coding RNA (HVUL_LNC002000)". Lineage: Eukaryota; Viridiplantae; Streptophyta; Magnoliopsida; Poales; Poaceae. The record is from RNAcentral.